This 254-nucleotide ribosomal RNA is filed under the name uncultured bacterium. Its description in RNAcentral is "partial 16S ribosomal RNA". It matches the Rfam family "Bacterial small subunit ribosomal RNA", at positions 524 to 776 of the family's 1533-position model. The record is from RNAcentral.
CACGUAGGCACCAAGCGUUGUCCGGAUUUAUUGGGCGUAAAGAGCUCGUAGGCGGUUCAGUAAGUCGGGUGUGAAAACUUUGGGCUUAACCCAAAGCGUGCAUCCGAUACUGCUGUGACUUGAGUUCGGUAGGGGAGUGGGGAAUUCCUAGUGUAGCGGUGAAAUGCGCAGAUAUUAGGAGGAACACCGGUGGCGAAGGCGCCACUCUGGGCCGAAACUGACGCUGAGGAGCGAAAGCGUGGGGAGCGAACAGG